RNAcentral lists this ribosomal RNA (723 nucleotides) under Scutogyrus longicornis. RNAcentral describes it as "12S ribosomal RNA". The record is from RNAcentral. Lineage: Eukaryota; Metazoa; Platyhelminthes; Monogenea; Dactylogyridea; Ancyrocephalidae.
GAUUUGUUUAGUCAUGGCUACAGAAGUUAUUUAAACUCCAACCGCAUAUAGCGCUAUUGUUAUUUUUUUGUGUUUUCAGAGGUCGUGAGUUAGCGGUGAGUUCUCGUUAUUUUCGUUUUUGCGAUAGCGGGAGAGUUUAUUAAAGGAGGAUAAGACACAGUGCCAGCAUCCGCGGUUAUUCUGUUUCCUUUAGCUUCUUGUACGGUGUAAUAUUUGGUGGUGUGUUAGUUUCGUUUGGCAGUCAAAUGCGAAAAUGGUGCAAUACUAAUCACACCGCGUUGCUUUUAAACCUUUUUUUGGUAAGUUAGAUUUGAUACCUAAUUAACGGGUUUUAUAUAUAAAUCUUAGUUUAAACUAAAAUAAUUUGGCAGCCAACUAUUCCUAACAGGGGAGGGUGUGCUGUAAAAGAUGAUCCGCUCAAUAAUUCACCCGCAUAAAUUAGUUGGUGUACGUCCGGUUGGAUAUUCGUAGCGAGAGUUUAUUACGAGUGUAAACACUUCAAUUUAAGCCAGGUCAAUGUGCUACUAAUAUGUGGGUUGUUAUUCCCUACUUUAAUAUUGAGCCUAUAUGUAAAUAUGCGAGUUUAGGACUUGUAAGUAAACUAAGUUAAUACACUUAUUUGAAAGGGGUUUAGUUGGGGUACACACCGCCCGUCAACCUCGGCGUUUAAGCUGAGGUAAGUCGUAACAAGGUAGCUUUUGGGGAACCAGAAGCUUAUUUCAA